GUCCAUAACGACUCUCGGCAACGGAUAUCUCGGCUCUUGCAUCGAUGAAGAACGUAGCGAAAUGCGAUACUUGGUGUGAAUUGCAGAAUCCCGUGAACCAUCGAGUCUUUGAACGCAAGUUGCGCCCGAAGCCAUUAGGCCAAGGGCACGCCUGCCUGGGUGUCACCAA
Molecule: ribosomal RNA, 169 nt
Filed under: Aeschynomene cristata
Lineage: Eukaryota; Viridiplantae; Streptophyta; Magnoliopsida; Fabales; Fabaceae
Description: 5.8S ribosomal RNA
Rfam family: 5.8S ribosomal RNA
About the family: 5.8S ribosomal RNA (5.8S rRNA) is a component of the large subunit of the eukaryotic ribosome. It is transcribed by RNA polymerase I as part of the 45S precursor that also contains 18S and 28S rRNA. Functionally, it is thought that 5.8S rRNA may be involved in ribosome translocation.
Source: RNAcentral